GGCCCCUGAUCGGGGUUGCGGACAGUGUCUGGUGGGUAGUUUGACUGGGGCGGUCUCCUCCUAAAGAGUAACGGAGGAGCACGAAGGUUGGCUAAUCCUGGUCGGACAUCAGGAGGUUAGUGCAAUGGCAUAAGCCAGCUUGACUGCGAGCGUGACGGCGCGAGCAGGUGCGAAAGCAGGUCAUAGUGAUCCGGUGGUUCUGAAUGGAAGGGCCAUCGCUCAACGGAUAAAAGGUACUCCGGGGAUAACAGGCUGAUACCGCCCAAGAGUUCAUAUCGACGGCGGUGUUUGGCACCUCGAUGUCGGCUCAUCACAUCCUGGGGCUGAAGUAGGUCCCAAGGGUAUGGCUGUUCGCCAUUUAAAGUGGUACGCGAGCUGGGUUUAGAACGUCGUGAGACAGUUCGGUCCCUAUCUGCCGUGGGCGCUGGAGAACUGAGGGGGGCUGCUCCUAGUACGAGAGGACCGGAGUGGACGCAUCACUGGUGUUCGGGUUGUCAUGCCAAUGGCACUGCCCGGUAGCUAAAUGCGGAAGAGAUAAGUGCUGAAAGCAUCUAAGCACGAAACUUGCCCCGAGAUGAGUUCUCCCUGACUCCUUGAGAGUCCUGAAGGAACGUUGAAGACGACGACGUUGAUAGGCCGGGUGUGUAAGCGCAGCGAUGCGUUGAGCUAACCGGUACUAAUGAACCGUGAGGCUUAACCUU
This 701-nucleotide ribosomal RNA is filed under the name Escherichia coli. Its description in RNAcentral is "partial 23S ribosomal RNA". It matches the Rfam family "Bacterial large subunit ribosomal RNA", at positions 2230 to 2925 of the family's 2925-position model. The record is from RNAcentral. Lineage: Bacteria; Pseudomonadati; Pseudomonadota; Gammaproteobacteria; Enterobacterales; Enterobacteriaceae.